Molecule: non-coding RNA, 97 nt
Organism: Tinamus guttatus (white-throated tinamou)
Lineage: Eukaryota; Metazoa; Chordata; Aves; Tinamiformes; Tinamidae
Source: RefSeq, a predicted model, not a curated record
AGCUCUGCUUCUUGGUUUUCCCAUUUCUGAAAUUGGCCUGUCACAUCAGUGGGAGCUCGAAGAAUAUCCUUCACAUUUAAAAAGAAUUCCUACAAAA